AUCACUGGGGAUCUUGUUAACAUGCAAAUUCUGACUCGAGUUCUGGGGAGAGGUCUGAGAUUCUGCAUUUCUAACAAGCUUACAGGUGAAGCCA
This 94-nucleotide microRNA precursor is filed under the name Ovis aries (sheep). Its description in RNAcentral is "miRNA (ENSOARG00000023212.1)". Lineage: Eukaryota; Metazoa; Chordata; Mammalia; Artiodactyla; Bovidae. The record is from RNAcentral.